This 72-nucleotide transfer RNA is filed under the name Neotoma lepida (desert woodrat). It matches the Rfam family "tRNA". From Rfam's summary of the family: Transfer RNA (tRNA) molecules are approximately 80 nucleotides in length. Their secondary structure includes four short double-helical elements and three loops (D, anti-codon, and T loops). Further hydrogen bonds mediate the characteristic L-shaped molecular structure. tRNAs have two regions of fundamental functional importance: the anti-codon, which is responsible for specific mRNA codon recognition, and the 3' end, to which the tRNAs corresponding amino acid is attached (by aminoacyl-tRNA synthetases). tRNAs cope with the degeneracy of the genetic code in two manners: having more than one tRNA (with a specific anti-codon) for a particular amino acid; and 'wobble' base-pairing, i.e. permitting non-standard base-pairing at the 3rd anti-codon position. Lineage: Eukaryota; Metazoa; Chordata; Mammalia; Rodentia; Cricetidae. The record is from Rfam by way of RNAcentral.
UGGGGUGUGGCUCAGUGGUAGAGCACUUGCUUGGGAUGUGAGAUACCCUAGGUUUGAGUCCCAGCACGCCAA